GUGUAGACGCCGAGUAACAUGUAAGUUGUGCCAGAAGAAGCGUGUUUUAAAGAGGAUCAUUUCUGAUACGCCCACAAGAUACCUGUGUAUGUGUAUGUGUGUGCGUUCAGGCUAAUGAAAACCGUUUUUACAGUGGUCGAAAUUGAAAGCACGACGGGGCGGCUUCGAGGGCCUGGCGCCUCCGACUUGCUUUCCAGCAAAAAGCCUCCACAGCAGCUUAACGACAAGUGGACAAGGUCGGUAGCCAGCAGUUGCCGCUUCAAUGUUUUGCCACCGAGCGGGUGAAACUGGCCGGUGACGCACGCUUCCAGCUCGCUCGCAAAAGUUCAAGUCGCCUCUGUUCGGUCGUGGCGUACCCAGCGGCCGGCUCCAGGGUUGCAUCGUAUUGCACACCGCGACAGCGACUGAGCGUCAGCACCGGUGCAGGGAAUACCACGCGCUAAUGUCGGGCACUCUUUUUCGAGUGCCAGCGAGUGUCGGCGGGGACGCACUGCCCUGCGCAGAGCGCAAACCGCUCGUCUCAUUGCCGCUGCAGGGAGGAAAGCGGGUACGCAAACGGGGCCAGAACUAGAGCCUCUGCUCCGUGUGCUGGAAACGCGCCUCCGAUACAUACGUGGUACGCAGUCGGCUCGGGUGCACUCCCAGGUACACUACAAACACGUCACGGACUUUUACGAAUGUUGCGGCACGAAAAGACCGUCAGUGGGCAUCGUCGAUUCUGUCACGAUCGCGCCCUCCGUAGACGAGGGGUCAUUUCGCAGCUUCGACCGAGACCUCGUUGGCAACGACGCACUUGGAUUGGAGAUAUCCCUUGCCGGCCGCGGCUCCGUACACAUCCUCCUCCCGAAACCGAAUCGCAUGCCACUGCUUGGGAUCUUUGUGUGUCCCGAAGACACGAUCCCAGAAUGUAAAGUACUGUCCAUAGUUGGAACGAAACGUUGUAUGGUGGAUGCGAUGAUGGGCAGCGCCAUUCACCCCGGGGAUGCUGAGACUCACCCGAUCGUGAAUAUUGAUCGUCCAGAGCCCGACCACAGCGAGGGAUAUCAGAUGUAGGAGACUGUGAAACGGGAAAAUCAACACGAAUAACUGAUACGGAAAGCCCUGGGCGAAACCGUCGAGGGGAUGGAAUGCAAACGCCGAGAACGGCGUCGUAUCAAUGAAUGAAUGAUGCGGUUUGUGGAGGAAUCGAUACACGCGGCGGUGGUGCAGGCCCCGGUGAAUAAAAUAGAUCAAGGUAUCGCUAAACACCAAGAAUAGCACGGGGGAGAGAAUAAAGUACAAGAUCCCGUGCUUCCUUGGAUCGUCAUAGACGCGGGUAUACCCCAGCUGCACCAGAAGCUCUAUUGGUGUUGUGAGAAGCGACAUCACAGCGAGUGACCAGGUCGACAUGCGCACCUCUCUCCAGAUUUCUCGCCAGUUUGCACGGUAUUUCGUGCCUACGGUAGCCUUACGAAACGCCACGAACACCAAAAAGUAGUCAAUACUCGCAAAUAGGUAAUAAAGUACAAGAG
Cyanidioschyzon merolae strain 10D is the source of this 1511-nucleotide RNA transcript. RefSeq lists it as hypothetical. The record is from RefSeq and is a predicted model, not a curated record. Lineage: Eukaryota; Rhodophyta; Bangiophyceae; Cyanidiales; Cyanidiaceae. The transcript has a single exon.